RNAcentral lists this ribosomal RNA (371 nucleotides) under uncultured bacterium. RNAcentral describes it as "bacterial SSU rRNA". It matches the Rfam family "Bacterial small subunit ribosomal RNA", at positions 28 to 400 of the family's 1533-position model. The record is from RNAcentral.
GACGAACGCUGGCGGCGUGCUUAACACAUGCAAGUCGAGCGGUAAGGCCCUUUCGGGGGUACACGAGCGGCGAACGGGUGAGUAACACGUGGGUGACCUGCCCUUAGCUCUGGGAUAAGCCUGGGAAACUGGGUCUAAUACCGGAUAUGACUCCAUGACGCAUGUUGUGGGGUGGAAAGCCUUGUGCGGCUAGGGAUGGGCCCGCGGCCUAUCAGCUUGUUGGUGGGGUGAUGGCCACCAAGGCGACGACGGGUAGCCGGCCUGAGAGGGUGAUCGGCCACACUGGGACUGAGACACGGCCCAGACUCCUACGGGAGGCAGCAGGUGGGGAAUCUUGCGCAAUGGGCGGAAGCCUGACGCAGCAACGCCGC